RNAcentral lists this RNase P RNA (396 nucleotides) under Desulfobacteraceae bacterium. RNAcentral's name for it is "RNase P RNA component class A". It matches the Rfam family "Bacterial RNase P class A". From Rfam's summary of the family: Ribonuclease P (RNase P) is a ubiquitous endoribonuclease, found in archaea, bacteria and eukarya as well as chloroplasts and mitochondria. Its best characterised activity is the generation of mature 5'-ends of tRNAs by cleaving the 5'-leader elements of precursor-tRNAs. Cellular RNase Ps are ribonucleoproteins. Lineage: Bacteria; Pseudomonadati; Thermodesulfobacteriota; Desulfobacteria; Desulfobacterales; Desulfobacteraceae. The record is from RNAcentral.
AGAGUAGGACAGAUGACCGCCGCUUUGUUUUGCGCAAAGGGGAGGAAAGUCCGGGCUCCACAGGACAGGGCGCUGGGUAACACCCAGUCCCGGUGACGGGCAGGAAAGUGCAACAGAAAGGAAACCGCCUGGUGUGAUGGUUAAAGACCCCUGCAUUGGGUAAGGGUGAAACGGUGAGGUAAGAGCUCACCAGUCCCGUUGGUGACGACGGGAGCUAUGCAAACCCCGCUCGGAGCAAGACCAAAUAAGGGAACGAUUGAGGGUGGUCCGCCCGAGUUCCCGGGUAGGUCGCUUGACCUCGAUGGUAACAUCGAGGCUAGAUGAAUGGUCAUUGCCCCGUAGUCCACCGUAGGCGGGCUCUGGGGAACAGAACCCGGCUUAUGUCCUGCUCUAACA